This 465-nucleotide ribosomal RNA is filed under the name uncultured bacterium. RNAcentral describes it as "partial 16S ribosomal RNA". It matches the Rfam family "Bacterial small subunit ribosomal RNA", at positions 28 to 507 of the family's 1533-position model. The record is from RNAcentral.
GACGAACGCUGGCGGCGUGCUUAACACAUGCAAGUCGAACGGAAAGGCCCUGCUUGCAGGGUACUCGAGUGGCGAACGGGUGAGUAACACGUGGGUGGUCUGCCCUGCACUUCGGCAUAAGCCUGGGAAACUGGGUCUAAUACCGGAUAGGAGCCAUCUUUAGUGUGAUGGUUGGAAAGUUUUUUCGGUGUAGGAUGAGCUCGCGGCCUAUCAGCUUGUUGGUGGGGUAAUGGCCUACCGAGGCGGCGACGGGUAGCCGGCCUGAGAGGGUGGACGGCCACAUUGGGACUGAGAUGCGGCCCAGACUCCGACGGGAGGCAGCAGUGGGGAAUAUUGCACAAUGGGCGCAAGCCUGAUGCAGCGAGGCCGCGUGGGGGAUGACGGCCUUCGGGUUGUAAACUCCUUUCGCUAGGGACGAAGCUUUUUGUGACGGUACCUAGAUAAGAAGCCCCGGCUAACUACGUG